CAGUCGCCGCGGUAAUACGGAGGGUCCGAGCGUUAAUCGGAAUUACUGGGCGUAAAGCGUGCGCAGGCGGUUUGUUAAGCGAGAUGUGAAAGCCCUGGGCUCAACCUAGGAAUAGCAUUUCGAACUGGCGAACUAGAGUCUUGUAGAGGGGGGUAGAAUUCCAGGUGUAGCGGUGAAAUGCGUAGAGAUCUGGAGGAAUACCGGUGGCGAAGGCGGCCCCCUGGACAAAGACUGACGCUCAUGCACGAAAGCGUGGGGAGCAAACAGGAUUAGAUACCCCUGUAGUCCCUGUCUCUUAUAC
This 301-nucleotide ribosomal RNA is filed under the name uncultured bacterium. RNAcentral's name for it is "partial 16S ribosomal RNA". It matches the Rfam family "Bacterial small subunit ribosomal RNA", at positions 509 to 807 of the family's 1533-position model. The record is from RNAcentral.